UACGGGGGGGGCAAGCGUUGUUCGGAAUUACUGGGCGUAAAGGGCGCGUAGGCGGCCUGCUAAGUCGGACGUGAAAUCCCCCGGCUCAACCGGGGAACUGCGUCCGAUACUGGUGGGCUCGAAUCCGGGAGAGGGAUGUGGAAUUCCAGGUGUAGCGGCGAAAUGCGUAGAUAUCAGGAGGAACACCGGUGGCGAAGGCGGGUCUCUGGGCCGGAACUGACGCUAAGGAGCGAAAGCGUGGGGAGCGAACAGG
This 253-nucleotide ribosomal RNA is filed under the name uncultured bacterium. RNAcentral describes it as "partial 16S ribosomal RNA". It matches the Rfam family "Bacterial small subunit ribosomal RNA", at positions 524 to 776 of the family's 1533-position model. The record is from RNAcentral.